Empidonax traillii (willow flycatcher) is the source of this 533-nucleotide long non-coding RNA. RefSeq lists it as uncharacterized. The record is from RefSeq and is a predicted model, not a curated record. The transcript has 5 exons. Lineage: Eukaryota; Metazoa; Chordata; Aves; Passeriformes; Tyrannidae.
GGAUCCAGCUUUUCAUUUCUGAUCCACUGUAAGUUAUGGAAUCUGGCUAAUAGAAACAAAUCUGGAUGAGCUGGUUUACAGAACAAUAAACACAGCACUUUUAGCAGAUGUGUGGAAGCUGGAGUUGAUGGCUUCUGGCACAUCAGGAUCUGACUUAGGCAGACCCUGAGCGAGGCAGUGCCAUGUGGACACGAGGAAGGAACUAGAGAGCGCUCCUGAAAACUACCUCCUGGAAUGUAAAAAUUCUGAUCUUUGGGAAAGUAAAGGAACUGCUGUGCGAGAUGAAAAAUGUCAAUAUAUUUGGAGGACAGACUACUUCAGACUGGUUGUGAACAACUCCAGAGACAUGUUUUGGUGAACUUCUGCUCCAAGACCUCUAAGGCUGGCAGUACUUCUCUCCAGAUGUACCAUUUGGCACAAUAAACAGUUCUUUUCUUAGAAGGGGAACCUAUGGUUUUGCCAUGUAAUGCAAAACACCAAUGGAAUCACUACAUAAGCAAAAUGCCAGUAAUGGUACAGUGGUCCAGCCACAA